Pongo pygmaeus (Bornean orangutan) is the source of this 1454-nucleotide long non-coding RNA. RefSeq lists it as uncharacterized. NCBI's taxonomy places the organism in Eukaryota, Metazoa, Chordata, Mammalia, Primates, Hominidae. The transcript is spliced from 4 exons. The record is from RefSeq and is a predicted model, not a curated record.
AGCAACUUUCAUAAUAAAAGCAGUCGCCACAUUUUGUUGGAAGGUUAGCUAUAAUGAAAUCUCACUGAGAGGCAAAGCAAACCUUUUCAAGAUGCAUACGUAAAAGAAGAAAUCACUUUCUGAAUUCUCGGAACACUAAGGUUAAAGCAAAUGCUGUAUGAGCCAGGUCCUCACUGUCAGAGAAAGAAACUACAAAUAAUCAUGCAAAAGGAGAAAGCUAGAAUGAACCUCGUGGUGCUGCAUCAGCCAUGAGACAUCAGUGAGAACCGGCGUUCAGGUGAAAAUACACACACAGCUACGGGAAGACCCCAUAAGAAGAAAAACUUGACACUGUUACUUACUCCUAGUCUCCAGUGAAGAAACACUUCUACAAUGAGGGAGAUGGAUCGCUUCAGACAAAUGGCAGCACCUUACUUCCUUGAGCGCCCCAGGCUCCGAUUCAGAAAUUAAGAGGCAGGCACUUCCUCUCACCCGAACUUCCCUGAGGAAUGGCAGCUGUAUGUCUGCCAGGCGCAGGGGCCAAUCGGGACUCUGCCGGCCGCCUCCACCCACGACUUAAACACCAUUUCACCAAUUGCAACAGGAUCGUGGGUGGGACUUCCGCUAUCAUUUUAGGCUUAACUACCACCAUCUCCUCGCGGGCAGUGGGGGCAACCGCGAAGACAGAAUUUCACAAACUUUCAGCUCCAGCAGUUUCAAGGAAAUGUCAGAUGACAAGAUAGAAGACAGAGUGGCAAGAGCUAAGACACCAAAAAGGCCCCCAAAAUUUGUUUUCAAGAAAACCAAUGAAAAAAGCAAGCAAUCAGAACGUGAAGUCCAGGAUCAUGGAUGUGCUUAUCUCCACAGUCACUGCUGGGUCCUGAAGUUCUCCUCUGGCCCAGUGCCAGCUGCGGAGCCCUCUGCCAAAGGGCCAGAGGAGGCCGGUGAUGUAGAGCUCUGAUUACCCACCCGUCAGGGCGCCGCUGAAGGUCACUGAAUACUUACUGUGCACCCGAAAAAUAAAUCCUGCGAGUUCACGCCCGCGUAGCUCGCCCCCUGAUUUUGAGCGACUCCUUUCGCAUGGGAUCUACAAAACCGAACUGCCUUAAAGACUUCUUUCACACGGACGUGAAGUCACAGAACUGACAAAAUCCCAUCCUGUCAAAGUGCACGGGUCUUUGAAAUCUAACACAAAAAGCCAUAGAAAGAUUCUCUAAACACCCUGUACUAUGAGGAACACGGACAGGGCACUGCGUUCUGAAGUAGAGGCCAGGGCACUGGCCCUUAGACACGUCUCGCUGUCACCGGGCUAACAACAUUGGCAAGGGCGACGGCAGCAGCACUGAUAUUUGCAGCCCCCAAGGGCCCUGGCGAAACCCCCUCUAUUACUCUGUAUCCUGCUUGUUUCCAAGAUGAACCUGUUGCUGGGAAAGAACAGGCUAAAUUAGAAAAGGGAGCAUUUUGUCAAAGUUGAA